This 91-nucleotide transfer RNA is filed under the name Cribrihabitans marinus. RNAcentral describes it as "tRNA-Gly". The record is from RNAcentral. Lineage: Bacteria; Pseudomonadati; Pseudomonadota; Alphaproteobacteria; Rhodobacterales; Paracoccaceae.
AGCAGGCAUCGCACACGGCGCGCCAUUCUACCGGGCUGGUCGAGGCCGUCGCGAAUGGCAUUGAUUAGCCGUUCGCCGCGGUUGCCUGCCA